Molecule: transfer RNA, 76 nt
Filed under: Candidatus Oleimmundimicrobium sp.
Lineage: Bacteria; Bacillati; Actinomycetota; Candidatus Aquicultoria; Candidatus Subteraquimicrobiales; Candidatus Oleimmundimicrobiaceae
Description: tRNA-Glu
Rfam family: tRNA
About the family: Transfer RNA (tRNA) molecules are approximately 80 nucleotides in length.
Source: RNAcentral
GCCCCCAUCGUCUAGGGGCCUAGGACACAGCCCUUUCAAGGCUGCGGCGGGGAUUCGAAUUCCCCUGGGGGCACCA